RNA transcript from Triticum aestivum (bread wheat), 3004 nucleotides. RefSeq lists it as uncharacterized. The transcript has 7 exons. The record is from RefSeq and is a predicted model, not a curated record. Lineage: Eukaryota; Viridiplantae; Streptophyta; Magnoliopsida; Poales; Poaceae.
GAGACCUUUACUUUCUCCUUCUUUUUCAUCACUAACACAUGUUCCUCUCACAAAAAAUGGGUACUCGCAUUUACCAAAACAAACUGUGAGCUGCAUUGGCUUCAGUGGCACGCAUCACUGGAAUUCAUUGGCGCCCUCACUUCCUUUCGUGAAUUCGGCGGUCUGUUGAGUUGGUGAUUAGUUCACUUGGUCUAAUCAUGUCAGUACAGAACUAAAUAUCUGUUGAAAACUUGCCCGCUAUCUGAUAGAACUCCCUCCAAUGUUAUGUAGAAGGUAAACCUUGAUAGCUGGGCAGGUUGGAGCAUGGAGUGCAUAGCCUUGCUCGCGUCUGCUUAGGCCCUAUAAGCCGGUUCCGUGGGUAUUAGAUGCCCUGAGAGUGGAUGCAGGACACUUGAUUCGUCUGUCUGGUGUGUGCCAACUUCAAAGUGUAGAGACCCCAAGCAGAUGAGGCAUGGCUUAUUGAGAGGGGGCAGCUGGAAGAGUUGGCGACCCAACGACCUGGAACAUCAACACUUCAAACUUUUCAUAGGAGGUUUGAGCAUGCAGUGUACAGCCUUGCUCGUGUGUGAGAUGACUCUAUAAGCCGGUACCGCUGGUAUCAGUUCCCCUGAGAGGGGAUACAUGACUGGAUUCGUAAGUCGUUCUCUAGCACGAGACAGACAGAGAGACAUGCCAUAUCAAUCAUUUGGACACACAUAAUGCUACAUAUGUUGUUAGAACUUAGCCCCUGUAUGGAAGGCGCCUAUCUAGAACAAUAUUGCUCUCAUGCUCCGUUCUGCAUUUAGGGCUCAAAUCUGCAACACUCUGAUCAUCAUAUUGGCCCUGGACCUUUUCUUUUAGUAAGUAUUACUGUAUUAGAGUAACCAGAAUAUUUAGAGCGCUUUGAAGGAAACAAAUGGCAUCAAGGCAUUUAGGAUGAUUCUAGCCUGGCCAACAUCUAAAUAUAGGUCCUAGAUACUAGAUUGUUAUAUAUGUAGCAGAUGAAUUUUGAGUAGGAUAGGAUAUUCUGAGUUGACUGAUACUCUUUGACGUAUUUAGAUUUGAAAGACAUUCUUUGUCGUUGUAAGUAAAAAAGAUAUCACAUUGGACUUAAAAUGUACUCCCUCCGUUUGUUUUUAUAAGACGUUCAGACAACUUGCUUUGUGCUGUUUUUGAACAGUGUCUGAAAGUCUAAAACGUCUUAUAAAAACAAACAGAGGUAGUAUACGGUAACAUAAUUUUGUUGGUCAGGUAGGGUUAAAAAUGUUGAACAGAUUACCACCUCCAAUUAUGCCAUACAGCAUAGAGGUAAGCAGCUGUUGGAGGUCAUUGGCCUGUACAGUAUGUGGAUGGGCACAUGGCAUCUAAUAGUAGUUGCACUGUCCUAUAGUUGAACUAGUAAACAUUUGAUCUUAGCUGGCAUAUGGGUGAGUACUAGUACAAUGCAUGCAUGCUAGGCUCUGACCGUCUUGAUCAUGGAUGAUCUCUAUACAAGAAUAAAGGGUAACGCGGUGCAUGUGGUAACAACUGUUAACACUUACAAAUAUUCAGCAAGUGGAUGAAAACCAAACCGACCGGGCUAGAAGUCAACUGCUAACUCCAUAAAUACCACUAGUGCGGCAAUGGCCAACAUACUCCAGCAGGUGUGAGAAGCAGAAUUAGCGGCAGGCAACAAAAGCUCUCAUCAACUCCAGUAGAAGAAAGCCGUGCUGGAAAUAUGACGAUGGAGGCCACUCCUCUCCUGACUCCAUACAAGAUGGGCAAAUUCAACCUCGCGCACAGGGUUGUUCUUGCUCCUGUGACGCGGUGCAGGUCGUAUGGGAACAUGGCCCAGCCGCACAAUGCGCUGUACUACGCGCAGAGGGCGGCGCCGGGCGUCGUCCUCAUCGCAGAGGCCAGCGCGGUGUCGAAGAUGGCACCAAGGUACCCGCCCGUGCCCGGCCUGUGGAGCCAGGAGCAGGUGGAGGCCUGGAAGGCUGUAGUCGAUGCCGUGCACGCCAAGGGCGCCCUCUUCUUCUGCCAGAUUUGGCAUACAGGCAGCGUCUCGCCCACUGGGUUGGACGCCCCUCAGGGUUGGAAGCACAGGAGAUACCCCGAAUGGUGAAUGACUUCCGCACUGCUGCAAGAAAUGCCAUCAAAGCCGGUUUCGACGGUGUGGAGAUUCAUGCCACCAAUGGGUUGCUGAUCAACCAGUUCUGGUGGUUCAUAGAUAACGAAAGGUCCAACUCUCAGCCUCUACAACGCCGUGACCAGCUCAUCAAGGCCAUCGCCGGUUUGCCACCGAGACCAUCACCGCCGUUGCUGACGAGGUGGGUGCGCACCGCCAUGGCGUGCGCCUCUCCCCAGUAGCCGACUACGACUCGGACCCGGAGGCGCUCCCACUGCACGUGGUCCGCCUCAUGAACGAGCUCGGCGUCCUCUACUGCCACAUGGUGGAGCCGAGGAACGGGACCCUGUGCAGCCUUCUGCCUUUCAGGAAGGCGUUCAAAGGUACAUUCAUCGUGAACGGGGGUUACGACAGGGAGGGAGGAGAUGUGGCUGUCGGCGAUGGCUAUGCCGAUCUGGUCUCGUACGGGCGGCUCUUCCUGGCGAACCCCGACCUGCCGGAGCGGUUCAGGAAGAGGGCGGGCCUGAACGAGUAUGACCGGAGCACGUUCUACACCUCCGAUCCGGUGGUCGGCUACACGGACUACCCUUUCCUUGCUCAGGGGCAGGGGACACGAGUUAGCUAAUUGACCUCCGAUCCCGCCGGCCACACUUGUUCAAGGGUGUCAGUUGUUCUUGAUUCAGAUCAUCAGGCGAGUCGAGAUCAACUAGCUUGACGGUGUGCAGAUUGCGCGACUAGAUUUGUCGUAGCCGUCUUUUGUUAUUUGAGUGCCAAUGGUUGCUCGGCGAGUUACUUGUUUCUCAGGUUAUUGUUUUCAGUGCUGGCUAAACGUAAUCCUGUGAAAAAAACACUCCAAGUUGUCUAGACUUGAUACUUCUGUGCAACUCUCUGGUUUAACUCAAUAGAGUUCCAGUAGUA